GGGGAUAUAGCUCAACAAUAUGAGCAUGUGCCUGGUAAGCACAAGGUCCUGAGUUUGGUUCUCAGCUCA
Molecule: transfer RNA, 69 nt
Filed under: Cavia porcellus (domestic guinea pig)
Lineage: Eukaryota; Metazoa; Chordata; Mammalia; Rodentia; Caviidae
Rfam family: tRNA
About the family: Transfer RNA (tRNA) molecules are approximately 80 nucleotides in length.
Source: Rfam by way of RNAcentral